Molecule: unclassified non-coding RNA, 3518 nt
Filed under: Hevea brasiliensis (rubber tree)
Lineage: Eukaryota; Viridiplantae; Streptophyta; Magnoliopsida; Malpighiales; Euphorbiaceae
Source: RNAcentral
GAAAAAACUCACACACUCUCUCUGUAGUUUGAAGGAAGAGAACACAGACACACACACUUCACUUAAAGUGAAGCUAAAAAGAGAGCUUAUUUCUUUUUGAGUUUUCUGGCUAAAAGGGCACCGGUGAAAAAUGUUUUGAAUUUCUUUCUGUUUUGUUGUUCUCAUUUUCCCUAUUUUUUUUCUCUGUUAAGUUUUCCUAUUUUUUGGAGCAUGUUAAUGAGAGAGGAGGGAGGGAUCGGGGCCUUGUUGCUUUUGGGAUGUGAUUUUAAGGAGAUAAUUUAGGAGAUAAUGGUGGGGUUAUUCUGGAGAUUUUAGAAAGGGUUUCGUUGGUUUUUCUUCUUUCUUCUUCUUCUUCUUUUAUCGCAUUGUUUAAUGGUGUUAUCGUCAGAAAUGUGGGUCCAUCUCAUGUUCCGAAAAGCAUGCUGCUUCCUGGAUGUUCUUGUUUAAAUUUGUUACCCAAAUCAUUACUUGCCUUAAGUUAUUCAUCUGUUACUGUUACUUGUUCUACUACUGUGCGCUCUUAUGGUUCUCUGUUUGCUUUCUCGGAACAAAAAUCUGAGGAAAGAAAUGAUGUUAGAGAUAGCGUUGUUAACAAGGUGUAUGCAACUGUUAUGGAGGGCUCUAUUGAUAUGGAGAAAGCCCUCGAUCAACUCGGUUUAGAAUUGACCACUGAUUUGGUUGUUGAGGUACUCCUUAAGCUUCGUUUUGAGGAAAAGAUUGCUUUUAGAUUCUUUAUGUGGGCAGGGCGCCAACAAAAUUAUGCCCACGAGCCUUCUGCUUAUAAUGAAAUGAUUGACAUUCUCUCUAGUACAAAAUACAAGGUGAAACAGUUUCGAAUAGUUUGUGAUAUGCUGGACUAUAUGAAGAGGAGUAACAAGAAUGUUGUGCCUGUUGAGGUUUUGUUGACAAUUUUGAGAAACUACACGCAGAAGUACCUGACGCAUGUUCAGAAAUUUGCCAAGAAAAAGAGGAUAAGGGUGAAGACACAACCAGAAAUAAAUGCUUUUAACUUGCUAUUAGAUGCUCUGUGCAAGUGUUGCCUAGUUGAGGACGCAGAAACAAUGUAUAAGAGGGUGAAGAACAGGGUGAAGCCUGAUGCUACUACAUACAAUAUACUGUUUUUUGGAUGGUGUAGAGUUAGGAAGCCAACUAGAGGAAUGAGGGUUUUGGAGGAAAUGAUCCAACUGGGUCAUACCCCUGAUAGUUUUACAUACAAUACUGCCAUUGAUGCAUACUGCAAAGCAGGGAUGGUGACAGAAGCAGCUGAACUUUUUGAGUUUAUGAGAACAAAAGGUUCGACAUUGUCUGCCCCCACUGCAAAAACUUAUGCAAUCAUGAUUGUGGCACUUGUCCAGAAUGAUAGAAUGGAUGAUUGCUUUAAGCUUCUUGGGCAUAUGAUAAACAGUGGUUGCCUCCCUGAUGUUUCAACUUACAAAGAAUUGAUUGAAGGAAUGUGUUUGUCUGGAAAGCUUGAUGAAGCUUAUAGAGUUUUGCAAGAGAUGGGAAACAAAGGUUAUCCUCCUGAUAUAGUUACUUACAACUGUUUUCUAAAGGUCCUUUGUGAAAAUGGGAAGAGUAUUGAAGCACUUAAGCUAUACGGAAGAAUGAUAGAGGUGGGUUGUUUGCCUAGCGUACAGACUUAUAAUAUGCUGAUUUCCAUGUUUUUCAGGAUAGGUGAUCCUGAUGGGGCAUUUGAGACCUGGCAUGAGAUGUAUAAGAGAGGCUGUGCUCAGGACAUAGAUACAUAUUCUGUGAUGAUUGAAGGACUUUUUGGUUGCAAUAAAGUAGAGGAUGCCUGUCUCCUGAUAGAAGAUGUUGUGAAUAAGGGAAUGAAAUUGUCCUAUAAAAUAUUUGAUUCCUUUCUGAUGCAGCUUUCAGAGAUUGGUGAUCUCCGAGCUAUCCACAAACUGUCAGAGCACAUGAGGAAGUUAUACAAUCCUUCUAUGGCAAGACGUUUUGCACUAAAUGAGAAACGUAAGAGCAUGAGCUUUAGAGAGAGGAAGAAGAUAUGAAUGAUAUCCUUGUUUUAUCUAUCUUAAGAUGGAAAAGAAAUCCUUAAUUAUUUCAGUGAGUGGAGCAAUAACUUUUGGCAAUUUAUAUUUCCAUUAGUGGGGGAAACACCAAGAGAGCUGUCUUGAAAUCGGGAUAAUUGUUCCACAGCCACCUUGUGCAGUUGUGCUGAAGUGACCUCAAUUGACUAAUGAAAGAAAUACCAAAUAUUUUUCUAUGAUAGAUUACCAGUGAAACAGGUUAGAUUCAUGAGUCUUAUAGAAUAUUACCUGAAGAUAUUUUGUUUUCAAGGAUGAUAGAGUGUCUUAACAUUGUUUAAUUUGCAACAUUUUGGAAAGGCAGGUGCUUUGUCUUCAGUGGACACAGAUCAUAAGAACUGAGGAUGAUGGAACUACUACUUGUUUUAAAGUCAAAGCAUCUUAUGACAUAAAAUUCAAUUUGACGGAUACCAAUUAACAAGAGAGAAUAUGGGAUGCAUUACAUGUGUUUGGAAAUCUGAUGGUCCUCUAGGAGUUGCUUUGCAGUCUGUGCAGUCUCUGGACACUGGUAAGAAAUUUCAAGAAUCUCAUUGCAGGAUCCGCGUGUAAUUAGCUUUAUAUUCACAAAAAAUAAGAUUGUCCAGUUUUUAUCUGUAGGGUGAUAUUGGUGCAAAUCACUCUCUUGUAGUUCAUAGGAGAUUAACUUGCAUACUAAAAGUGGUUCAGAUCGUGCAAUUUUGAUGCAAAGGUGACAGUUUUCUUUGGAAAUGCUAAAGUGAGUUAGGAAAGUGAACAUAAAUUCUGGAGACCUUAUCAUUUAUUUUUGGGUAGAAUAUUUUAAUAUGUUGCUCUUUCUUUUCAUAUUUAUUAUUUAAGAAGUUGUGAAUUGUUGUGCCCCUAAAAUCUUCUUGUGCCCUCAUACAAACUUGAUAUACCGCAUUCUAGUUAUGACCAUUUCCUUAAAUUUUGAGUUUUCUAAACCUGUGGCAUUUCUUGAGGGAUCGUCCAGAGGCCAUACAGGUGUGGAGCCAAGUGUUGCAUAAGUACAAACAAGCCAUGUAGAGGAGAUGGGAGGUCAGAUUAGUACACACUAGUAGCUAUAGAGCAGAGGGUGAAGGAGUUGUCUGGCUUGUUGUCUCUGAGCGGUGAAGGUGUAGCCUCUAGGGAUCAGUAGGCCCCAUUUGUUCGCUUUUGGAAUCUGGGCUUAGGCCUAGGCCUUCCAUUCUUUAGAAGAUAGGAAAACGAAAAAUUAAACAAACGAAGCUCUCGCUCUUAGUUUCCAUAGUCCACUUUGGUCGGCGGCUGGCAGGCAAAACGCCAAGCAACACCAGACAGCCUCCCAUCCAGCACACCCAUUAUUCAAUGAGAUCAAUUCACGUCAUCUAUUUCUUGUUGAUUCAUAUAGGGAAAACAAUGACAUUUUUUUAAUAAAUAGUGACACUUGUUUACAAUUUGUUUAUUCCUUUUAUUAUAUUUUUUUUUCAAAAGAGAACAAAGAAACCUAAAAUAUUGAGAUUUUUUCUAAUUGAG